GUGCCAGCCGCCGCGGUAAUACAGAGGGUGCGAGCGUUAAUCGGAAUUACUGGGCGUAAAGCGAGUGUAGGUGGCUCAUUAAGUCACAUGUGAAAUCCCCGGGCUUAACCUGGGAACUGCAUGUGAUACUGGUGGUGCUAGAAUAUGUGAGAGGGAAGUAGAAUUCCAGGUGUAGCGGUGAAAUGCGUAGAGAUCUGGAGGAAUACCGAUGGCGAAGGCAGCUUCCUGGCAUAAUAUUGACACUGAGAUUCGAAAGCGUGGGUAGCAAACAGGAUUAGAUACCCUGGUAGUCCACGCCGUAAACGAUGUCUACUAGCCGUUGGGGUCCUUGAGACUUUAGUGGCGCAGUUAACGCGAUAAGUAGACCGCCUGGGGAGUACGGCCGCAAGGUUAAAACUCAAAUGAAUUGACGGGGGCCCGCACAAGCGGUGGAGCAUGUGGUUUAAUUCGAUGCAACGCGAAGAACCUUACCUGGUCUUGACAUAGUGAGAAUCCUGCAGAGAUGCGGGAGUGCCUUCUGGAAUUCACAUACAGGUGCUGCAUGGCUGUCGUCAGCUCGUGUCGUGAGAUGUUGGGUUAAGUCCCGCAACGAGCGCAACCCUUUUCCUUACUUGCCAGCGGGUUAAGCCGGGAACUUUAAGGAUACUGCCAGUGACAAACUGGAGGAAGGCGGGGACGACGUCAAGUCAUCAUGGCCCUUACGACCAGGGCUACACACGUGCUACAUGGUAGGUACAGAGGUGCUACACAGCGAUGUGAUGCUAAUCUCAAAAGCUUAUCGUAGUCCGAUUGAGUCUGCACUCGACUCAUGAGUCGAUCGCUAGUAUCGCAGAUCAGAAUGCUGCGGUGAAACGUUCCGGCCUUUGCACCUCCACCCCGCCCGUCAG
RNAcentral lists this ribosomal RNA (887 nucleotides) under uncultured bacterium. RNAcentral's name for it is "bacterial SSU rRNA". It matches the Rfam family "Bacterial small subunit ribosomal RNA", at positions 505 to 1400 of the family's 1533-position model. The record is from RNAcentral.